RNAcentral lists this ribosomal RNA (315 nucleotides) under uncultured eukaryote. RNAcentral describes it as "partial 18S ribosomal RNA". It matches the Rfam family "Eukaryotic small subunit ribosomal RNA", at positions 1470 to 1796 of the family's 1831-position model. The record is from RNAcentral.
CCCUUAGAUGUUCUGGGCCGCACGCGCGCUACACUGACCGGUGCAACAAGCAUCCGUCCUUGGCCGACAGGCCCGGGCAAUCUUUGAACGCCGGUCGUGAUGGGGAUAGACUUUUGCAAUUUUUGGUCUUCAACGAGGAAUUCCUAGUAAACGCAAGUCAUCAACUUGCAUUGAUUACGUCCCUGCCCUUUGUACACACCGCCCGUCGCACCUACCGAUUGAAUGGUCCGGUGAAGCCUCCGGAUUGGCGCGCACCUCGGUGCCGCCGAGAAGUUGGCUAAACCUUACCAUUUAGAGGAAGGUGAANUCGUAACA